UCGUGUCGUGAGAUGUUGGGUUAAGUCCCGUAACGAGCGCAACCCUUGUCCUUAGUUACCAGCACGUUAUGGUGGGCACUCUAAGGAGACUGCCGGUGACAAACCGGAGGAAGGUGGGGAUGACGUCAAGUCAUCAUGGCCCUUACGGCCUGGGCUACACACGUGCUACAAUGGUCGGUACAAAGGGUUGCCAAGCCGCGAGGUGGAGCUAAUCCCAUAAAACCGAUCGUAGUCCGGAUCGCAGUCUGCAACUCGACUGCGUGAAGUCGGAAUCGCUAGUAAUCGUGAAUCAGAAUGUCACGGUGAAUACGUUCCCGGGCCCU
RNAcentral lists this ribosomal RNA (323 nucleotides) under uncultured Pseudomonas sp. RNAcentral's name for it is "bacterial SSU rRNA". It matches the Rfam family "Bacterial small subunit ribosomal RNA", at positions 1060 to 1382 of the family's 1533-position model. The record is from RNAcentral. Lineage: Bacteria; Pseudomonadati; Pseudomonadota; Gammaproteobacteria; Pseudomonadales; Pseudomonadaceae.